UUGAUGAGUGCUAGUGUUGGAGGGUUUCCGCCCUUCAGUGCCGGAGCUAACGCAUUAAGCACUCCGCCUGGGGAGUACGACCGCAAGGUUGAAACUCAAAGGAAUUGACGGGGGCCCGCACAAGCGGUGGAGCAUGUGGUUUAAUUCGAAGCUACGCGAAGAACCUUACCAGGUCUUGACAUCUUGCGCCAACCCUAGAGAUAGGGCGUUUCCUUCGGGAACGCAAUGACAGGUGGUGCAUGGUCGUCGUCAGCUCGUGUCGUGAGAUGUUGGGUUAAGUCCCGCAACGAGCGCAACCCUUGUUACUAGUUGCCAGCAUUAAGUUGGGCACUCUAGUGAGACUGCCGGUGACAAACCGGAGGAAGGUGGGGACGACGUCAGAUCAUCAUGCCCCUUAUGACCUGGGCUACACACGUGCUACAAUGGACGGUACAACGAGUCGCGAACUCGCGAGGGCAAGCAAAUCUCUUAAAACCGUUCUCAGUUCGGACUGCAGGCUGCAACUCGCCUGCACGAAGUCGGAAUCGCUAGUAAUCGCGGAUCAGCAUGCCGCGGUGAAUACGUUCCCGGGCCUUGUACACACCGCCCGUCACACCAUGAGAGUUUGUAACACCCAAAGUCGGUGGGGUAACCUUUUAGGAGCCAGCCGCCUAAGGUGGGACAGAUGAUUAGGGUGAAGUCGUAACAAGUUAACCGUAAGGGGCGAA
RNAcentral lists this ribosomal RNA (707 nucleotides) under Limosilactobacillus fermentum. RNAcentral describes it as "bacterial SSU rRNA". It matches the Rfam family "Bacterial small subunit ribosomal RNA", at positions 801 to 1510 of the family's 1533-position model. Lineage: Bacteria; Bacillati; Bacillota; Bacilli; Lactobacillales; Lactobacillaceae. The record is from RNAcentral.